This is a long non-coding RNA of Triticum dicoccoides, 1177 nucleotides long. RefSeq lists it as uncharacterized. The transcript has 2 exons. Lineage: Eukaryota; Viridiplantae; Streptophyta; Magnoliopsida; Poales; Poaceae. The record is from RefSeq and is a predicted model, not a curated record.
CGUAUGAGUUGGGUUCACUAUGAGCCGGCUAGUUUCUUUUUAUGUACUGACUGUUUCAUGGUUGCAUAAAAUUUAUACUUGUGUGAAAACUGUGAAUAUCCUUUUUGGCUGAAGUGUUAGCAUGUUGAUUCUAAAAAUCAUGAAUCUGUUUGGACCAGCUUUUGAAAUGGUUGCCAUUGAUCUGUCUUGUGUCUCUGUUUUCCUUUCCUUUGAACUGAAGAAUUGACUUGGUCCUGUUUCCAUGUUUUGUUCUAGCUGAUGAUCUAACGGCCUAGUUGUUAGUAACUUAGUAUCCUAUGAGUCAUAAGCUGCUAUAUCAAGUUUGAGCCUGCGGGCUUCUCUGUCGAGUGUCGAUGCAUAUAAAGCUGUGAUCAGGAAGCUCUUGUAAGAAGUAUUGGUUUAAACAGAGAAGUUGGCUGAUGAUACCAAUCUGUGGUAAUACUAAGUUUGAUUGAUCAAGUUACUGCCAAAAAGUCAUUGCAAUGUUGCUGGUGCUGUGAAGAAUACUUGUCAGAAUAAUUUGGUUGCUAGGAACAUCCACUUUAUUGUUUUUUUCUGCCAACAAGACUCAGCAUACGUUGCUGUUGUUGCUGACCAGGCACCCUGUGCAUUCUAGACGCGUUUCUUUGUUCCUGCAUGCAGCAAGAAACAGGUGAUCGGGAACAAGAAAAAAUGUUUGAAGUUGAUCGCUGGAACCUACCUUGCAGCCGAAAAUAGAUAUGUAGUCAAUACUGACCUGCGGCUCCGACGAUGGUCACCAGGGGGAUGAUGCAUCAGGCAGCAAUACAACAGUAAUCUGACAAGCAGAAUUCGGGCAGAGUUGGUGAUCACUGUGUGAUGAGAGUCUGGGACAGGACUGUCUCCGUCUCCGGCCAACACCAGGAAGCGCUUCUGUUGGCGGCACGUGUACAGUCGGCAUAUGCCAAUUUCUUGAACUGAAGAAUCGACUUUGCCUUUUAUCCAGGUCUUCUUUUUAUUCUUGAGUGAUUAUCUAGUUUUGUUCUAGCUGAGGAUGAAAAUGUGGCUGAUUAUCAUCUCAAUUCGGCCACUUGCUAUACUUUCACCUGAUUGUAAGAAGUGCUUGGAGGACUACCCGUUAGAAUGAUUGCAUUGUAGUCCACUUUUUUUCAGUAAAAUGUCUUGGUGCAACUCAUUCCAUCUAGUUCGGUUCUGAAAA